Molecule: long non-coding RNA, 1757 nt
Organism: Columba livia (rock pigeon)
Lineage: Eukaryota; Metazoa; Chordata; Aves; Columbiformes; Columbidae
Exons: 3
Source: RefSeq, a predicted model, not a curated record
CUCUGCUGUGACACUGAGUGCCGGCUGCGCCCCACGUGCUGCAGCUCGGGGGGGUUUGUCUAACAAAGCUGUUUAUUUCUGAGACAUUUCGAUGAGGACAUCUGUUUAUACAGAUAUACACACUCCGAUGGUUAAUUACAGCCGGGUUUGCACAGCAAUGGGUAGGACAUUCCUUCUCUAAUGAAUAAUUCCGUAUCUUAACAUAAUCUGUUAUCUAAAAGGACCUGAUCUGAGGUCGCUGGACUGAGUUUGUUCGGUAGCGCCAGCCAGGGACAGCGUGCCGGGUACAAGCAGCGAGCAGGGCCGUGGCACAGGCGGUUCCCUCGCUUGGGCUGGACCCAGGUCACCCUCUGCCUCUCCCCAAGGAUGUUUGUCACUUGUUGCUAAGCGCGGCAGCAGCCACAGCAAGGCCGUUGCCGGUACAACUCACCAUUUGCCGGUGAACCGCAAAGCACUGGUCGUGUUCGAAUACAAGGUUAGAUCUGCUCUUUGUCUUCAAGUGGCUACAAUACACAUGAAGUCAUUCUCUUAGCUACAGGUGCUGCAGAAACAGAGCGGGCACAAAGGUCAGAGUCCUGCAUUGAUAGAGGAAUAUCGGGAAUAACGGGAAUAACGGGAUAAUGCUGCGCGUGCUGCUCGCCUCCCAAACCAUCCUGCCCUGUGUGAGUCACCCGAGCGACAGGACCACCCAGACACACCGUUCCCCCCGUUCUCCUUCGGACAGAAACGUUCCCGGGGGCACUCCCACAGGUUUUGCAGAAACAUCUGGCAACAACAUGCAAGGAAGAGGAAACUUUUGUUUUAUGCAUCAAGAGCUCUCUAUGAAGAAAAUCAGCUAAUUACAGGAUGCCUGCAAGAAAAGAACCACCUUUGAUUUCACCAGUAGUUUUUCCUGCAGCACAAAGUGCAACACAAGUCGGCGGCAGCGGCGGGCGGGCCGGGGGCAGGGCAGGGGAGGGCGUCCCGGCCCCGGGGCCGCGGUGGCGGGAGCUGGGUCUGCGCACCCGGUUUGCACCCCCGCGUGCCCCUGGCCCCGCACAGCGCGCGAGGCUUGUCCUCACGGCGUCCUGUACCUUCCCAUGCGGGUGACUUCAAAUCACGGUCUGUAAAUGUAGUGCUUGUCAGCAAUAAAGCAGAAUUAUGUGCAGCUGGUUCACUAAUGAAAAAGAAUUUGGGAUGUGACACGGUGCAAGGUUUGAGCUCAGACUCCUAAGUACGAUAUAUCAGUAAAGUUAUAAGCAAAAGGAAACGUUACCGCUAAAAACGUGUUUUGUGAAAUGUCAUAAAGCUUUUGAAACAUCUGUCUUUACUGCAAGAUAAAUGACUCCUCUUUAAAUUGAAAACGUAAUUCCAAACAAUGCCGCUCUCAGUACUGCAGAUGGGUCCGGAUUCGGAGUCUGAGCCAGCGCCAGGAGCCGCAGGAAAGGAUCCUUCGAACUGCAGUGGGUGCUACAUGUCGAAAAAGGAUUUUAAAAUCUUUUCUGAAAUAUCACGCAGCUGAAAUGGAAGAAUUCACAGGGAGUUAAGGAAGGAGAUAGGACAUGAAAACUAAAAUACUUUUCUUGAAACAAGAAAAGAACACUGUGUAAAUUAAUUAGAUGCAAGUUCUCAAUCUCUUAAGUUCUUAUGGAAGAAGUGCUUGUAGACAAUUGUCCUUAUGCUUUGUGUUCCACCUUACUCCCUGUGUUUUAUUGUAACUGUAUUUACACGAAUAUAACUUUUAAAGGACUUCAGUUUUAAACAGGCUUCUUCUAUGC